Molecule: unclassified non-coding RNA, 457 nt
Filed under: Hevea brasiliensis (rubber tree)
Lineage: Eukaryota; Viridiplantae; Streptophyta; Magnoliopsida; Malpighiales; Euphorbiaceae
Source: RNAcentral
GGGUUUUAUGUUACAUUUUAAAGUCAAAGGACUGUAGUGUUACAACCGUAUAAGUUUAAGGAUAGUUGUUGAAAUUUAUCCAUUACAACUAACAUUAAGAGGGAAGAAGAACAGAAACGAUAAAUAGAAGAAAACAUAAAGCUGCAAACAGAGACCAAAAAAAAUAAAUUUAUCAUUCUGCAACUUAAAAAUUUAAUGAAAUAUAUAUAAAUGUCUUCUAUUUAUUUCAUGGAAAGCAUGAAGCACACAAUUAUUGUGUUCACAACCUCAACACAGACAAUCGUCAAUAUAAACCAAAAACCUAACUAUACUAAUCCUGCUUCUUUCUCUGUUAAAAUUAUUGUCUUAAGUUUUGCAUUAGUAUUAUGUCACCAUUAUAACAACUUUCCAAUCUGAUGCAACAUGAUUAAAAGCUAAGCAAACUAAUAAAUCGAACAUGACCUAUGUAAAAGUAGGU